CUCUGGCAGAGAUGUGCAGGUGAAUGGACACCACCCUCCUGGGGCCACGUGAAGUCCUCUGUCCCAGCCCGACCAACCCUCCAGGCUGGACAGCGAGCUACUGACCUUCAGCCUCUCCCGGCAUCGCUCCUGGUGGCGUGAGCACUGGCCGGGCUGUCUGCACGAGGAGGUGCCGGCAGUGGGCCUCGGGGCCCCCCAUGGCCAGGCCCUGGUGUCAGGUGCUGGCUGUGCCCUGGAGCCCAGCUAUGUGGAGGCCCUACACAGCGGCCUGCAGAUCCUGAUCGCGCUUCUGGGCUUUGUCUGUGGCUGCUAUGUGGUCAGCGUGUUUACGGAGGAAGAGGACAGCUUUGAUUUCAUUGGUGGAUUUGAUCCAUUUCCUCUCUACCAUGUCAAUGAAAAGCCACCCAGCCUCUUGUCCAAGCAGGCGUACUUGCCUGCGUAAGUGAGGAAACAGCUGAUCCUGCUCCUGCGGCCUCCAGCCUCGGCGACUGACCAGUGACAAUGACAGGAGCUCCCAGGCCUUGGGACAUGCCCCCACCCAGCACCCCCCAGGUGGCCAGCAGCACCUGCCCUGGGUUCUAAGUGCUGGACACCAGCCAGGGCGGCAGGGCAGUGCCACGGCUGGCUGCAGCUUCAAGAGAGUUUGUAAUUUCCUUGCUCUUAAAAAAAAAAAAAGAAAACAUACAAAAGAAAAGGCAGAGCCCCACAUGCCCACCUCCUCCGGCAACAUGGGGGUCACAGCUCUGCCCCCAGGCCGUCUUCUCGUCGAGGAGCCCCUCCCUCAGGUGCCCAC
This 793-nucleotide small RNA is filed under the name Pongo abelii (Sumatran orangutan). RNAcentral describes it as "processed transcript". The record is from RNAcentral. Lineage: Eukaryota; Metazoa; Chordata; Mammalia; Primates; Hominidae.